RNAcentral lists this small nuclear RNA (106 nucleotides) under Necator americanus (New World hookworm). The record is from RNAcentral. Lineage: Eukaryota; Metazoa; Nematoda; Chromadorea; Rhabditida; Ancylostomatidae.
UGUCGCUUCGACCCUAUUGUACACCAAAAUGGGAACAAUACAGGGAAGAUUUGCGUGACUCCUGCGCAAGGGCGACAUGCAAAUUUUUGAAGCGUUCCAAACGAGU